AACCCGACUACACGAAGCUGGAAUCGCUAGUAAUCGCGAAUCNGAAUGUCGCGGUGAAUACGUUCCCGGGUCUUGUACACACCGCCCGUCACACCAUGGGGAGUCGGGGAAUGCCCGAAGUCAGUGACCCAACCAAAUGGAGGGGAGCUGCCGAAGGCAGGUCUGAUAACUGGGGUGAAGUCGUAACAAGGUAUC
RNAcentral lists this ribosomal RNA (195 nucleotides) under uncultured bacterium. Its description in RNAcentral is "partial 16S ribosomal RNA". It matches the Rfam family "Bacterial small subunit ribosomal RNA", at positions 1309 to 1500 of the family's 1533-position model. The record is from RNAcentral.